AACGAACGCUGGCGGCAUGCCUAACACAUGCAAGUCGAACGAGACCUUCGGGUCUAGUGGCGCACGGGUGCGUAACGCGUGGGAACCUGCCCUUAGGUUCGGAAUAACUCCCCGAAAGGGGUGCUAAUACCGGAUAAUGUCUUCGGACCAAAGAUUUAUCGCCUUUGGAUGGGCCCGCGUUGGAUUAGCUAGUUGGUAGGGUAAAAGCCUACCAAGGCGACGAUCCAUAGCUGGUCUGAGAGGAUGAUCAGCCACACUGGGACUGAGACACGGCCCAGACUCCUACGGGAGGCAGCAGUGGGGAAUGUUGGAAAGUGGGCGAAAGCCUGAUCCAGCAAUGCCGCGUGAGUGAUGAAGGCCUUAGGGUUGUAAAGCUCUAUUACCCGGGAUGAUAAUGACAGUACCGGGAGAAUAAGCUCCGGCUAACUCCGUG
This 433-nucleotide ribosomal RNA is filed under the name uncultured bacterium. RNAcentral's name for it is "partial 16S ribosomal RNA". It matches the Rfam family "Bacterial small subunit ribosomal RNA", at positions 29 to 507 of the family's 1533-position model. The record is from RNAcentral.